AUGAACGCUAGCGGCAGGCCUAAUACAUGCAAGUCGAGGGGCAGCGGGAGUAGCAAUACUUGCCGGCGACCGGCGCACGGGUGCGUAACACGUAUACAAUCUACCUUUAACAGGGGGAUAGCCCGGAGAAAUCCGGAUUAAUACCCCAUAAUAUCAGAAUCGGCAUCGAUUUUGUUUGAAAACUACGGUGGUUAAAGAUGAGUAUGCGUCUGAUUAGUUAGUUGGUGAGGUAAUGGCUCACCAAGACCACGAUCAGUAGGGGAUCUGAGAGGAUUAACCCCCACACGGAUACUGAGACACGGAUCCGACUCCUACGGGAGGCAGCAGUAAGGAAUAUUGGACAAUGGGCGAAAGCCUGAUCCAGCCAUGCCGCGUGCAGGAAGAAGGCGCUAUGCGUCGUAAACUGCUUUUACACCGGAGAAAACCCCCCUACGUGUAGGGGGCUGAUAGUAUGGUGAGAAUAAGCAUCGGCUAACUUCGU
RNAcentral lists this ribosomal RNA (481 nucleotides) under uncultured bacterium. RNAcentral describes it as "bacterial SSU rRNA". It matches the Rfam family "Bacterial small subunit ribosomal RNA", at positions 29 to 506 of the family's 1533-position model. The record is from RNAcentral.